This 476-nucleotide ribosomal RNA is filed under the name uncultured bacterium. RNAcentral describes it as "bacterial SSU rRNA". It matches the Rfam family "Bacterial small subunit ribosomal RNA", at positions 328 to 793 of the family's 1533-position model. The record is from RNAcentral.
UCAGUCGACUCCUACGGGGGAGGCAGCAGUGGGGAAUAUUGCACAAUGGGGGAAACCCUGAUGCAGCCAUGCCGCGUGUGUGAAGAAGGCCUUCGGGUUGUAAAGCACUUUCAGUAGGGAGGAAGGUAGUGUAGUUAACACCUGCACUAUUUGACGUUACCUACAGAAGAAGCACCGGCUAACUCCGUGCCAGCAGCCGCGGUAAUACGGAGGGUGCGAGCGUUAAUCGGAAUUACUGGGCGUAAAGCGCAUGCAGGCGGCCUGUUAAGUCAGAUGUGAAAGCCCGGGGCUUAACCUCGGAAUUGCAUUUGAAACUGGCAGGCUAGAGUCUUGUAGAGGGGGGUAGGAAUUUCAGGUGUAGCGGUGAAAUGCGUAGAGAUCUGAAGGAAUACCAGUGGCGAAGGCGGCCCCCUGGACAAAGACUGACGCUCAGAUGCGAAAGCGUGGGGAGCAAACAGGAUUAGAUACCCUGGUAG